This 464-nucleotide ribosomal RNA is filed under the name Vreelandella stevensii. Its description in RNAcentral is "partial 16S ribosomal RNA". It matches the Rfam family "Bacterial small subunit ribosomal RNA", at positions 339 to 795 of the family's 1533-position model. Lineage: Bacteria; Pseudomonadati; Pseudomonadota; Gammaproteobacteria; Oceanospirillales; Halomonadaceae. The record is from RNAcentral.
UUACGGGAGGCAGCAGUGGGGUAUAUUGGACAAUGGGCGAAAGCCUGAUCCAGCCAUGCCGCGUGUGUGAAGAAGGCCUUCGGGUUGUAAAGCACUUUCAGUGGGGAAGAAAGCCUUGGGGCUAAUACCCUCGAGGAAGGACAUCACCCACAGAAGAAGCACCGGCUAACUCCGUGCCAGCAGCCGCGGUAAUACGGAGGGUGCGAGCGUUAAUCGGAAUUACUGGGCGUAAAGCGCGCGUAGGCGGUCUGAUAAGCCGGUUGUGAAAGCCCCGGGCUCAACCUGGGAACGGCAUCCGGAACUGUCAGGCUAGAGUGCAGGAGAGGAAGGUAGAAUUCCCGGUGUAGCGGUGAAAUGCGUAGAGAUCGGGAGGAAUACCAGUGGCGAAGGCGGCCUUCUGGACUGACACUGACGCUGAGGUGCGAAAGCGUGGGUAGCAAACAGGAUUAGAUACCCGGGUAGUC